GCCAGAGUUUAGCAUAUUCUCAUAUCGCAUUCCUCCCGACUCAGAAAAUGGUUUUCUUUCAGACUGGUUGAGGCCAACAGAGGGACACUUGGCCACCUUAGGCAUCCAGAAAAAGACAGAUUGUGAUGGGAGAGAAGACACUCCUUGUUAGAAGGUUGGCAAGCUAAUAGGAAUUUGCAUGAACCACAGGUCGGAGUUCUCUUCCUUUUUACAAUCUUGGCUUCUACUGGGGGAGGAUGGAGGUUUGACUAAUCUUCCUAGACUGAUGGUGGUGGCAAGUUUUCAUGAUGGUCCCCAAUGAACCCCUUUCCUUGACUUUACAUUUUUGUGUAGAUGCCUCAUACAAUGGUUACAUUAUGACCAACAGAAUAUGGCAGAAGUGACAGCAAAACAAUUAUGAGGUUAGGUCACAAACAAUCCUUGACAUCUGUCCCACUUGCUCUUAAAUUGCGUGCUAGGAGGAAGAAAAAGGGGUUGCCUUGUUGUGAUUGGCCCAGAGGAGGGUUCCAUGUGAAAGAGAACUAAGGUCGGCUGUAAGUAGAAGGAACAGUCGCUUCAAUUACCCCAGCCAUGAGAAGCUCAGACCAUGGGGACACUCCCUGAGAACACUGCUGAGAUGGGACAUGGGAAAUAACAACAAAAGAAGCAUCCGAGGGGGAAGGUUUGAUCAUGGAGAAACGCUUGGGCAGGCAGCAGCUUCCAGACUCGCUGAAAAACUUUUGGCUGAAUUGGACUGGGAUUCUUGAGGUCAAGCGAACUUUUUAAAAUAUGUAAGCAGAUAUUUUGGAAUGUUUGAUUAAAUUUAGGGGCUAUGAAUACAAGGGGUGACUCAGAGGUUUCCUGCCAGCUUGGGAUGUUGUGUUGCUAUUUCUGAAGGUAACAGAGUGUCACUCCAGGACACACGCAUGGACCCAAUACUAAGUAAGCUUUGACCGUGACAAACUGAGUUUUUAAUUCCUCAUUUGCAAAAGAAUACUUAGG
This 981-nucleotide small RNA is filed under the name Rattus norvegicus (Norway rat). Its description in RNAcentral is "uncharacterized LOC102551858". The record is from RNAcentral. Lineage: Eukaryota; Metazoa; Chordata; Mammalia; Rodentia; Muridae.